Long non-coding RNA from Sitophilus oryzae (rice weevil), 395 nucleotides. RefSeq lists it as uncharacterized. Lineage: Eukaryota; Metazoa; Arthropoda; Insecta; Coleoptera; Curculionidae. The record is from RefSeq and is a predicted model, not a curated record. The transcript has 2 exons.
AAAAAAGGUAAAACAAUUAUUAUUGUCCAGGUCAUAUUUGAUAACUGUUGUUAAUUGAUAACAUAUUACAGGGACACAGUAAAAAGACACAACAUUUAGACCCUUUGAAAGAGAAAUGUUUGCAAUGGAUAUUAAUAAAUUCUAGCCAAUUUGUACGAUGUACAAUGCAGGCAAUAUUUCUGCCUCCUAACGCACUAUUCGCGUAAAAGAAGAUGUGGGUAUUGUAUUUAUAGAACAGAUUUAUUAUUAGUUGGCUAGUGUGUUAGUAGGAUAGCCAUUGGUAGUUAUAAAGUAUGAAGUCGUCAGGUAUUAAUAAUAGGAAUUGAUCAAAGCUUAUACAUUUAUUGUGAAUUUAAGUAGUUAGUUUUGGUUGUUUAAUAAACGAAUUAAUGUGC